RNAcentral lists this ribosomal RNA (253 nucleotides) under uncultured bacterium. Its description in RNAcentral is "partial 16S ribosomal RNA". It matches the Rfam family "Bacterial small subunit ribosomal RNA", at positions 524 to 776 of the family's 1533-position model. The record is from RNAcentral.
UACGGGGGGGGCAAGCGUUGUUCGGAAUUACUGGGCGUAAAGGGCUCGUAGGCGGCCAACUAAGUCCGACGUGAAAUCCCCAGGCUUAACCUGGGAACUGCGUCGGAUACUGGAUGGCUUGAAUUCGGGAGAGGGAUGCAGAAUUCCAGGUGUAGCGGUGAAAUGCGUAGAGAUGUGGAGGAACACCAGUGGCGAAGGCGACUCUUUGGCCUGUAACUGACACUGAGGCGCGAAAGCGUGGGGAGCAAACAGG